GAAUGGAAAAAUUAGGCUUGGAAUAUAAAUGAUACAAUUAGUUUCUCGACUGGCAACUUUCAUGUCUAACUGGGAAAACUCACGAGAUGUACCUAAAAGUGACUUUAAUUAGACCAAAUUUCAUUCCAGUUUGUUGAGUUAUUCAUGACAUUCUGAAUUGAUGAAUCAAGAGUGAUUCUUGAGAUUUUUGGGUGAAAAAUUUGACAUUUCUAUUGUAAAAUCUUAAGUUUUUAGUGUCAAGAUAUGUCAAAAUAGACAAAAGAGCGAAAACAAAUUAAAAUUAUGUUCAAAGGGUUUUGUUAUUUUUUAAAAUUAAAUGUUUUCCAGUGAAAUUAGCUCUUGGGAAAUGUAUUUCAUGGUUUUAUUCAAGGAUUUUACAUGGGAUUGAUACAAUAUUUGCUUCUUUCGCGGUUGACUUUUAAUUUCAUCUGAAUUUAAGGAUAAUUUUGGAUUUCCCUCGUUUUAAAAAGACAAUUAAAUCUCUUGCUUUUUGACGAUUGAUAAUUUUUUACGUAAGAUGGCGAUAUUAGCAAAAAAGCUAAAUUACGCGCAAUUAUUUACCGGUAACAGUUAACGUGAUUUGAUCAAGCUGGUUUUAUUCAAUUUAUAUGUUAAAUUUGUCUUAAUUUUGUCUCUGUAUUAGUCUUUAAUAUGUUUCUAAUUAUGUUACCUGUGUCUAAAUGUGUCUAAAUGUAUUUAAUUUGAAUGAAAUUACUGCCAGCGAAUCUACAGUCUAUGGGUAAGUCAAGGGGUUGUCUGGAUGACAUUCAUUUUGCUCUCGGCAGUGAGUUUCUUCAUAUUUGGAUGGAGUCCUAUUUCAAUCAAAGUCAAUCGAUAAACCAAAAGUCAAUGGGUAAAAAUUUAUUAUUGAACAGACGACUUUCCAUUUGCCUCCAAGAGAAAGUCUGAACUGGAAAAUUCCUCUCAUCAUCACAAAUUAAUCAAAUUAUGGACAAUCGGUGACCGGUUAAUAAUUGCCAUUUAAUCCAAUCAAGUCAACGAUGAAAGUUUUCUAUCAGUUUGUUGGGAAAAGGAGUUACAAGUAAAGUUAAUUUCGAUGGUAAACUUGAAAAACGGAGGGAAACAGAAGACUAACAAGACAUGAAACUUAAUCAAGAGCAAUAACUCUAAUUUCGUGUCUUACAAUAACUUCAAUCCUAUUAUUUAUACUUUUGAUUUUUCUACCUUCGCUUCACACCAACGUUUCCAUCAGCAUCAUCAUCAUGUUCUCAUGAGAUUCAACCCACAAACCCUGUUUUUUUUGGAAACUUAUCUUCUGAGAUAUAUAAAAAUUAUACUUUUCACCAUUGAUUAACUCUCUUCUUUCCAAUCUCUUUUUACAGUUAAAUAGAGUAAGUGAUCAUCAACUAAAUUGGAGCUCAAGGAAAAGAGAGAAGCAAGAUGUGACAAAAGCCAGGCUGGACAUGAUCUCAAUCCACAAUGAUUUGGUGACUCUGCUCAUUGUAAUCUAUCUGCUUGCAAUGUCAAUCAAUUGAUAAUCCUGAAACUGAAAGGCUUAAAGAUUUUCAUAACCUAAAGGAACAUUAAUUUAAUGAUUAUACAGAAGACACAAUCAUCAUUAGCAGAAGCAGAAGCAAAACAUGUAACAAGGCAAAACAAGACAUUAAGUUAACAACAAUCUGUAUCAUUUUAACAAGUUUACCAAUUUGUGUGCCUACAAAAUAUCAAAUUUCAAUCCAUUAUCACUCUCAAGCGACAACAUUCAUAAUGAUGAUAUCAUUAUACAUCCAAUAAGCAGAUUUCCUGAUUUCACGAAAGGGUGGAAAGGCAGAGAAGAAAAAAAAUCAAAUAUAGUUCAAGUUACUCUCAAUUCAUCAUUCUCUUUCUUCAUCAGUAUCAUCAUCAUGUUUUUCAAUAUAGAUUAUGAUUUACUAUUAACGAAACUAAAUCACAGGAAUGAAACAAACAAGGCAACCUCAAUGUUCACAAUUUAGAAGCUUCACCAGCAGUUGAUAAAUCAGUCUGAUGAUCAAAAUGAAAUGAAUCUUGAAAAUGACUUAUUCAUCAAAAUUACGAGAAACGAAGAAACCAGUUGAUAAAGAAAAAAGAAGAAUCAAAAUGAAUGAGAAAUUUUGGUAAUCUGAGAGUCAACUAACCAUGGUAUAUAAAUGGUAUCUUCAUUGGAAGAAGGAGGAGUAAUCAAUGGAAGACAAUAAACAAUAAUCAAAGUGAAUCAAGGAGGAGUUGAAAUUGGAGACAUUAUUUUACAUUUACAGCAUUUCAUCUUUACUCUCAGUUUGCCCUGUUUUCCGUCAACUGGUUCAAGCUUAUGUUUAUUUCAUCCUUAUAAUGUUGCCGGUGUUUGGGUUAAACUCACUAAACGCCUGUAAACCUUUGCCUUGGUUGUCAGCAAACCUGUCAUUUGUAUCUUUACCCACAGGUUUCCUGGUAAUCAUGGUGAACCAGAAAAGCCAUUACCAAUUCAAUGGAUGACAGUUUAUAUCAAAAUUUACUUUUGGCCAGUCCAAUGUUUUCAUUUGGUUAACAUGAUGGAAAAGCUUGAGGCUAUUUACUGUCAACUUGUCAUUUCAUUUAAUACUCUUUAGGCUGAAAUAAACAUUGAAGCUCAGUCACCAUUGAUGAUCAUCUUUCAUGGAACCAUUUUUGUUAUCCUUUCAGUUUCACACAUUUAUCCUGAUCAUCAUGAAAAAUGAUGAAAAGGGCAAAACUGGAUAACCUAAAGACCAUGGAAGGAUUGAUAGUGAAGAAAAAAUUGUCAACAAUUUACUGAUUUCAAUAACAUUCCAGAAUAUUUUUCAUCUCUUUUAACCCUAAUUUUCACUGUUUAUCAAAUUAUUGAUCCACUUUUUUUUCUCAUUUCAUCGACUUCUUUUGAUAAUCAAUUGAUACACAGAUUUGAAUCGGAAGUGGGAUUCAGUGGAAAUGGGAUUUGCUAUGGGAAACCAGAUGAAAUGUGUAGGUUGAUCAAUGAAUUCACCAAUUUUCAUAGUUUAUCUUUUUCUUGAUACUUUGUCCAAUUGAUGGAUGAAAACAAAAACUGAGCCAUAAGGGUGAUGAUAAAGAGCAUUUCAUAUUUCAAUUGUUCAUGUUGCUAUUUUUUUGUGUAACAAGUAUUUUCAUGAGUAAAUAAUGGUUGACCUUUUCCAAUGUUUACUUCACCCAAAAAUAACAACAGUUGAUGAGACAAUCCAUUGUUGCUAUUGUAACCUGAAGAUGAUAUUAUUUCAGUAAAUAAGAUUAAAGGGCAACAAUAAUCAUU
Molecule: non-coding RNA, 3241 nt
Organism: Tetranychus urticae (two-spotted spider mite)
Lineage: Eukaryota; Metazoa; Arthropoda; Arachnida; Trombidiformes; Tetranychidae
Source: RefSeq, a predicted model, not a curated record